GACGAACGCUGGCGGCGUGCCUAACACAUGCAAGUCGAGCGAAGGGAGUGCUACGGUACGAACUUAGCGGCGGACGGGUGAGUAACUCGGGGAUAAUCUACCCUGUAGACUGGGAUAACACUGCGAAAGUGGUGCUAAUACCGGAUAAUGUCGAGAAGCGGCAUCGCUUUUCGAAGAAAGGAGGGAAUCCGCUAUAGGAGGAGUCCGCGUCCCAUUAGCUAGUUGGUGAGGGUAACGGCCCACCAAGGCGACGAUGGGUAGCCGGCCUGAGAGGGUGAACGGCCACACUGGAACUGAGACACGGUCCAGACUCCUACGGGAGGCAGCAGUGGGGAAUAUUGUGCAAUGGGGGAAACCCUGACACAGCGACGCCGCGUGAGUGAAGAAGGCCUUCGGGUCGUAAAGCUCAAUAGUAUGGGAAGAAAGAAAUGACGGUACCAUACGAAAGCCCCGGCUAACUACGUG
This 465-nucleotide ribosomal RNA is filed under the name uncultured bacterium. RNAcentral describes it as "bacterial SSU rRNA". It matches the Rfam family "Bacterial small subunit ribosomal RNA", at positions 28 to 507 of the family's 1533-position model. The record is from RNAcentral.